AUUAUCACUGUUAUAUUCUUCCCAUGACUCUGGGUGACAUCAGUGACAGAUUGCAUCAGUAGAGGGUAUCUUAUUGUUAAUAUCUAUAGCCACUUUAUUGGUGCAAACCAUGGCCACUCUUGGACCAAGAAAACAAAAACCAUGAACACCCCCCCUUCUUCUCCUUUUUCUCUUAGACUUGACUAGAUCUCAGUCGGUCUGUUCUCUCGCUCUUCGAUCUCCUAAUGACUGUAUGCCCUCUCUGCCCCUGAUCUCACCCACUUUUGCCGAAACUCUCAUCUCUAACACCUCAAUUUAAUUACCCAUCCCCAAUGAAACCCUGAAAUUCAGUUGGUCUUCUCUCUCGCUCUUCGAUCUCCUAAUGACCGUAUGCCCUCUCUGCCCUGAUCUCUCCCACUUUUGCUGAAACUCUCAUCUCUAACACCUCGAUUAAAUUAUCCAACCCCAACGAAACUGAGAAAUUCUCUGUGGGUCUAAGCAGUAUGAUUAUGGGCUUUUCAUUGACGAAGGACAAGGAGGUUCAAUGGAAUCUGACUCUACUUACAGAUCAUAUGUCUCGUCUUUUCCGUUUUGCAAUCUAGGCUCUGCAAUUUAAUAUCUCUUGGUUUUGGACAACUGAUGGUAUAAUAGGGUGUUUAAUUUGCAGAUUUCUUUCUCCUCGUUAUGAAUCAUGAUGAGAUGGUUGAAAUCAGUCCUGCAGGAAUAAGGAACUCCAAGAUUUUACCUUCUGGAUAUGUCGUCUAGAGAUCGACCCAAAUGUCGUUUGAGUCUUCUGCCAUGAUGGAGCUUGCUAAGUGCUAUGCAAAUACUACAAGAUCGUAUAAGCUGAGGAACCGCUUUUCGUUAUGAAUUGGGAGAGUAGGAAUUCAGAUGGAUCUGAUAUGUGAAAGUCACUGGUAUUUCAAGAAGAAGAUGAUUUUCUGCUAUUCAGAUGGAUCUGAUAUAUGAAAGUAAGUCAAGAAGAUGAUGAACUUGCUUGUGCACUUGCCAUGCUUUUGUGUGAUUCGGAGCCCGACAGAUGAAGGAAAUGCCUUGAAGAAGUAAAGUUCAAUUUGCUUCUGUUGAGGGGUUGUUAUCUACAUGCACAAAGCUUCCACAGAUGAAGGAAAACCUAGCUUUUCCAGUGGGAAACCUUCUUGUGAUGGUAUGCUCAACGUAGCCGUAUUAUCAUCUAAUUCAUUGUUCAAAUGAAAGAAUCUAGUUUAUUGGUAGCGAGCAUACAUAGGUCAAGCAAAAUAAGUUGCAGUCUGGAUUAUCUUUGAAGCAUAUAGAAUAUAAGGAGCAGAAGAGGCUUAUUGAGAUUGCUUGUGCUUUUUUAGGAAUCAGUUUCCUUCCAAAACAAUGCAUGCUGUUCUUCUGUCGUGCUCUACUCUCACUAAAGCUCAAACAUUUUUAGUUAGUCCUCUUGACGCUGUUGGUUUAGGUUUGCUACUCUUUGCCAACGAGUAGCCUCUUUUAUGGUUUUGACAAUCCAAAAUAUUCUUGAAGAUUGUCAAAUGGAAUAUGAGAUAAGGCACAACCUUGUGGCUGCUGCCAGCAGACAUUCAAAUGGAAGGGUUUCUUCCUGCAAUUUACAAGCAAGUUUAGGUUCUGCCAUUUUGCGAGACUGGUUGAUGUUCAUAUGCGCCUCUCCAUUUUGUGGGACUGCGUACUUGUCAAGUGGAAAUGGUUUGUGUGAGGCUUUGCAUUGUUUUCCUAAACGAUCGUGACAAAGAUACUCCACAAAAAAGAAAAGAAAAGGAAAAUCAGAGGAAUAAAUCUUUGGAGAAAGACAAGACAGAUUUUGGAUGGGGAAGCUGCUCUGUUGAAUACAAAUCUCAGUAGCUUCUGGACUGGAUAUGUCGAGGUCCAUAAUUGAAAGAGUGCUAAAGUGGAUUGGCAAUAUUCCUGAGUUCUGUGCGAUUGAGCUUCUUCUAGAUUCUCUGUCUAAUGUUCUUUGGGAGAUUAUCUUGGUGUUGACGUGCUUCAUGAGACCCCAUCAUCAACUGACAUGGAUGUUAAUGCUCCUGCUAUCAAUGGAAAACGAAUAGCUAUUGCUUUGUCCUCUGAAGAUGGUGGAGAAGGUACUCAAAGAAGAUUCUGCAUCAUUUGCAUAGGUAAGUUGUUAUAUUGAAGCUUCUGACAGAGAUUUUAGAAAUUUAUGCUGCAUCUGACCAAGUUCUAUAUUGGAAGGAUGCUGAAAUUGGUAGUUGUAGGAUCCCAAAGCAAGAGGGUUCUACUGCUGUAUGCACUGGUGGAAUAUUUCACCAUGUUCUGCACAUGUUUAUUCUAUAUUCACGAAGUGUUAAUAGUGAAAGAAACAAAAAAAAAAAAAAACAGAUGUAUAUUGGAAGCAGAAAUUAGCAAGCAGGGUGAGCCGGUUUUUAAGUUCAGCAUGUGUCGUUCUGUGAUACAAUGAGGCUAUUAUUGCGGCUCUGAGAAACUGGGAGUGUGCUUCCCGUGGUGCUGUCCAUGCUUGAAAUGAAGACCCAAAUAGGAAGCUGCUACAUGGUCAGUAUAUGAGCAUCUGGAUUGAGGGAAAACGUAACCACCGAUGUGGUCUUUGUUCGAAAACCAAGUUUAUUAGCUCAUUAAUCGUUUUUUCUGUUU
Molecule: long non-coding RNA, 2589 nt
Organism: Rosa chinensis
Lineage: Eukaryota; Viridiplantae; Streptophyta; Magnoliopsida; Rosales; Rosaceae
Exons: 3
Source: RefSeq, a predicted model, not a curated record